UGUAGUUUUCCAUUAUAAAGGGGACUGUAAUGCGAUGUCUUUAAGUAGGUGGUUGUCUUAUAUUCAGAGUCGACUUAUGUUUCAAUAUGAGCGGGAAUGAAGUGUUACGCAAUUCUUUUAACGAAAUUUACCUCUGCUGUUUAGUUUCCAUAUUGUGCGUAGAAGCAACAGUGCGUGCACUUUCAGCUGCUCAGUUUAUCUUCAAUGCUGCUCUCAUUUUGUAGAGUUCAUCACAUGUGCCUUUGCAACACAUUGGCGGAGGCAAAACGAACUGCAUUUCUCGCUAGCUGGACAAGUCGGAAUGGCAGUGCAUCUUGGAGAACAAGACUCGAAUUGUGAAAGUCUGGUGGUUUUCACCAAGUUUCACAGAACAUUGUUUUAUGUCAAGAUGGGCUGACACCAUGUCACCUGAUGCUGUCACUCCCUGGUUGGACUGGCAUUUCACGACCUUUGGGAUCAGCCCACAUAUGGGGAGUGCUUAAUGCUUGCUUCACUUCUGCCUCGGGUUGGCCUGGUAUUGCACUUUCUUCGGGAUCGGCGCACCGUAUGAAAAAUUGUUGGUCUAUGCGCGGAUGCGAUCCGGCAGAUCCUAGCCAUAGACAGCUUCACUGUAAAAAAAGUGGUCUAGCUCACGGCAAAUAGAGUCAAACAUUUUAAAAUGCGAAUAAAAAGAGAU
Molecule: long non-coding RNA, 676 nt
Filed under: Dermacentor andersoni
Lineage: Eukaryota; Metazoa; Arthropoda; Arachnida; Ixodida; Ixodidae
Description: uncharacterized LOC126535696
Source: RNAcentral